This 1665-nucleotide transfer RNA is filed under the name Cottoperca gobio. RNAcentral's name for it is "lncRNA (ENSCGOG00000024718.1)". Lineage: Eukaryota; Metazoa; Chordata; Actinopteri; Perciformes; Bovichtidae. The record is from RNAcentral.
GGCAAUUUUAGGAUUUGGAUGUCUUAUACUUUAACAGGUGUUAUUUUUUUCUGCUACUGAAGCUAAGCUUAGCAGUUUAGCAACAGUCGAACUGCUUUGCUGCGCUGUUAAUUUCGGACUUUCACAAUACCCAGGUGUUAAUAGCAUAUUCCCAUCCUCAAUACAUUUUGAAAAGACAAAAAUACUACCGCCCGAACAGGGACUUGAACCCUGGACCCUCAGAUUAAAAGUCUGAUGCUCUACCGACUGAGCUAUCCGGGCUCUGACACAUCCACCGGAAGUGCUCUAUUUAAACUGACGGAAAGACUACUGUCAGACCCGUGUCGAGACACAGUACCGGCAAGUCAAUACAUCCUGACCGAGAUUUUAAGAAACAUUUUAAUUAACAAAUUGAUCAUGACCGCAUUUUCUGACCACAACCUUGUGUCACAACACGGAAAUUCUACGGAGCGGCAGAUCAGAGAGCUGCAACAUGCCAUCCAAGAAAACAAUCGUAAACUGGUGGAGGUCCAGCAGAAAAGACUGCGUGCCGAGGAAGAGAUCAUUCAAUGUAACAGAGAAACUAAGCAGAGAGUGGUUUUGAUGAUCGAAAAAGGUGAAGUUGUUGAUGCGUUGUUGCAACUGGGUCAUCUGCUGCAAGAGGAAAAGCGACUUUCUGAACAACUGAAUGGUCAAGCCUCUGCAGACAGAAAUCAAAGGGAUGAUUUGCAGGAAAUAAGUGAAUGCAUCACAAACAAGGCGAGAAGCCUUGCUGCUGAAAUUCUGGAGGUGAAUGAUCAUCUGGCAGAGGCACAUGCUCGUAAUAUGGCUGCACAAGCUUUGAUUCAUGCACCAACUGGCACAUCAAAGAGAACCAAAGCAAACCCAAGUGAAUCAAAAAUAUAACAUUUGUAUUGUAGAUUACAGGCACAUUUCUUUUAAAUUGCAUUUGAUAUUCCUAAUUAAUUGUGUAUAUAUGUUGUUGCACCUAAUAACAUUUUUUACUUGAUCUAGUCUCGGAAGGAUUUCUCUUUAAUAUAGACUGCAUGUACUUUUUAUGUAACACUUGUUAUGUGAUUGUUUAGAUAUUUGAGACAUUAAAGAAACACUUUGCAACAUUUUUUAUUUUCCCUGCAGAAUUUCCAUUUUUCCUUGCCUUAAAUAUUAAUGAGUAGGCCUGUGUUGGAGUUGUUUUCGGACAUAUUGAUUUGAAGAGUGUAAAAUGUCUACCCUCACGAAUACAGACCUCAGUACAGUAGUAGAAUAUGUCAAAAAUUAAAAAGACCUACAUAAAGGUUAGUUAAAAAUACAAAGUGAGUGUUGGCCAGGGAUGUAUCAGAAAACUCCCCAUUUAUUUCAGAUAAAGGCUACAGUUAAAAAAAAUGUUUUAAUAGAUUGAUACGGUAUAUACAAACAUGCAAGCCUGUACAUGCAUAUACACUUCUAUAGAUGGUGCUUUCCUGCAUGAACAUAAAAAUUGUUAGGACUUGGAAAUAAACAACCACCUUCCUCCAUGAGACAAAACUCAAACAAUAAAUAAAAAGUCUAACGCCAUCACAGCUGGUGCAACAAGCAUUACAAUGCCUGACACUUCUAAUAGAACCAACGGCUUUGCAGUAACUUGAAGUAAAAGCACUUUUUAGGCUGUAUUGUAACUAGUAGUGAUGCAUUAAUGUGUAAACCUCA